AGUGAACGCUGGCGGUAGGCCUAACACAUGCAAGUCGAACGGCAGCACAGUAAGAGCUUGCUCUUACGGGUGGCGAGUGGCGGACGGGUGAGGAAUACAUCGGAAUCUACUUUUUCGUGGGGGAUAACGUAGGGAAACUUACGCUAAUACCGCAUACGACCUACGGGUGAAAGCAGGGGAUCUUCGGACCUUGCGCGAUUGAAUGAGCCGAUGUCGGAUUAGCUAGUGGGCGGGGUAAAGGCCCACCAAGGCGACGAUCCGUAGCUGGUCUGAGAGGAUGAUCAGCCACACUGGAACGGAGACACGGUCCAGACUCCUACGGGGGGAGGCAGUGGGGAAUAUUGGACAAUGGGGGCAAGCCUGAUCCAGCCAGACCGCUUGGGUGAAGAAGGCCUUCGGGUUGUAAAGCCCUUUUGUUGGGAAAGAAAAGCAGCAGGUUAAUACCCAGCUGUUCUGACGGUACCCAAAGAAUAAGCACCGGCUAACUUCGUG
This 492-nucleotide ribosomal RNA is filed under the name uncultured bacterium. RNAcentral describes it as "partial 16S ribosomal RNA". It matches the Rfam family "Bacterial small subunit ribosomal RNA", at positions 29 to 507 of the family's 1533-position model. The record is from RNAcentral.